This 29-nucleotide small RNA is filed under the name Bombyx mori (domestic silkworm). RNAcentral describes it as "ovarian small RNA-21835". Lineage: Eukaryota; Metazoa; Arthropoda; Insecta; Lepidoptera; Bombycidae. The record is from RNAcentral.
UAGAAUAUAUAUGUGCUAUACAGCAUUGC